This 1004-nucleotide ribosomal RNA is filed under the name Solitalea canadensis. Its description in RNAcentral is "bacterial SSU rRNA". It matches the Rfam family "Bacterial small subunit ribosomal RNA", at positions 28 to 1038 of the family's 1533-position model. The record is from RNAcentral. Lineage: Bacteria; Pseudomonadati; Bacteroidota; Sphingobacteriia; Sphingobacteriales; Sphingobacteriaceae.
GAUGACGCUAGCGGCAGGCUUAUACAUGCAAGUCGAACGAGAUUUAGGACUUCGGUUCUGAUGAAAGUGGCGCACGGGUGCGUAACACGUAUGCAACCUACCUUCAAUUGGGGGAUAGCCUUCCGAAAGGGAGAUUAAUACCGCAUAAGAUAUUAGAAUGGCAUCAUUCAGAUAUUAAAACUUUGGUGAUUGAAGAUGGGCAUGCGUUGCAUAGCUAGUUGGUAAGGUAACGGCUUACCAAGGCAACGAUGCAUAGGGGAUCUGAGAGGAUGGUCCCCCACACUGGUACUGAGAUACGGACCAGACUCCUACGGGAGGCAGCAGUAAGGAAUAUUGGUCAAUGGACGGAAGUCUGAACCAGCCAUGCCGCGUGCAGGAUGACGGCCCUAUGGGUUGUAAACUGCUUUUGUCGGGGAAUAAACCAGAUACGUGUAUUUAGUUGAAGGUACCCGAAGAAUAAGGAUCGGCUAACUCCGUGCCAGCAGCCGCGGUAAUACGGAGGAUCCAAGCGUUAUCCGGAUUUAUUGGGUUUAAAGGGUGCGUAGGCGGUAAAUUAAGUCAGAGGUGAAAGCCUGCAGCUCAACUGUAGAACUGCCUUUGAUACUGGUUUACUUGAGUACAGAUGAAGUGGGCGGAAUGUGACAAGUAGCGGUGAAAUGCAUAGAUAUGUCACAGAACACCGAUUGCGAAGGCAGCUCACUAAAGUGUAACUGACGCUGAGGCACGAAAGCGUGGGGAUCAAACAGGAUUAGAUACCCUGGUAGUCCACGCCCUAAACGAUGAUUACUCGCUGCCGGCGAUAUACAGUCGGCGGCUAAGCGAAAGCGUUAAGUAAUCCACCUGGGGAGUACGGUCGCAAGAUUGAAACUCAAAGGAAUUGACGGGGGCCCGCACAAGCGGAGGAGCAUGUGGUUUAAUUCGAUGAUACGCGAGGAACCUUACCCGGGCUUGAAAGUUACUGAAGAUAGUAGAAAUAUUAUCGUCCGCAAGGACAGGAAACUAGG